Molecule: ribosomal RNA, 913 nt
Filed under: uncultured archaeon
Lineage: Archaea
Description: bacterial SSU rRNA
Rfam family: Archaeal small subunit ribosomal RNA
Source: RNAcentral
UUCCGGUUGAUCCUGCCGGAGGUCACUGCUAUUGGGGCUCGGCUAAGCCAUGCGAGCGGAGGGCGCGGUCGCAAGAUCGUGGCCCCGCACACGGCUCAGUAACACGUAGUCAACCUACCCUUGGGACGGGGACAACGCCGGGAAACUGGCGAUAAUCCCCGAUAGGUGAGGGAUGCUGGGAUGCUUCUUCGCUCAAAGCUCCGGCGCCCGAGGAUGGGACUGCGGCCUAUCAGGCUGUUGGUGGUGUGACGGACCACCAAACCUACGACGGGUACGGGCGAUGGGAGUCGGAGCCUGGAGAUGGGGACUGAGACAAGGCCCCAGGCCCUACGGGGCGCAGCAGGCGCGAAAACUCCGCAAUGCGCGCAAGCGUGACGGGGGAACCCCAAGUGCCGUUGGUCUUUUGAUCGACGGCUUUUCGGAAGUCCAAUAAGCUUCCGGAAUAAGGGCUGGGCAAGACUGGUGCCAGCCGCCGCGGUAACACCAGCAGCCCAAGUGGUGGCCGCGAUUAUUGGGCCUAAAGCGCUCGUAGCCGGAUCAGCAAGUCCUUUGUGAAAUCGGACCGCCCAACGGUUCGGCGUGCAAAGGAUACUGUUGGUCUUGAGACCGGGAGAGGUCGGAGGUACUCUUGGGGUAGCGGUGAAAUGCUGUAAUCCUGGGGGGACCACCAGUGGCGAAGGCGUCCGACCAGAACGGAUCUGACGGUGAGGGGCGAAGGCUAGGGGAGCGAACGGGAUUAGAUACCCCGGUAGUCCUAGCUGUAAAGCAUGCGGGCCAGGUGUCUAGCGCUCCUUGAGGGCGCUAUGUGCCGGAGGGAAGCCGUUAAGCCCGCCGCCUGGGAAGUACGGCCGCAGGCUGAAACUUAAGAAAUUGGCGGGGGAGCACCACAAGGGGUGGAACCUGCGGGUCAUUU